CCGGGAUUGCCUCAGUAACGGCGAGUGAAGCGGCAAGAGCUCAAAUUUGAAAGCUGGCCCCUCCGGGGUCCGCAUUGUAAUUUGCAGAGGAUGCUUCGGGCUCAGCCCCCGUCUAAGUGCCCUGGAACGGGCCGUCGGAGAGGGUGAGAAUCCCGUCUGGGACGGGGUGCCUGGGUCCAUGUGAAGCUCCUUCGACGAGUCGAGUUGUUUGGGAAUGCAGCUCUAAAUGGGUGGUAAAUUUCAUCUAAAGCUAAAUACUGGCCGGAGACCGAUAGCGCACAAGUAGAGUGAUCGAAAGAUGAAAAGCACUUUGAAAAGAGAGUUAAACAGCACGUGAAAUUGUUGAAAGGGAAGCGCUUGCGAUCAGACUCGCCUGCGGGGUUCAGCCGGCAUUCGUGCCGGUGUACUUCCCCGUGGGCGGGCCAGCGUCGGUUCGGGUGGCCGGUCAAAGGCCCCGGGAAUGUGUCGCCCUCCGGGGCGUCUUAUAGCCCGGGGUGCCAUGCGGCCUACCUGGACCGAGGAACGCGCUUCGGCUCGGACGCUGGCGUAAUGGUCGUAAGCGACCCGUCUUGAAACACGGACCAAGGAGUCUAACAUCUACGCGAGUGUUUGGGUGGCAAACCCAUACGCGCAGUGAAAGCGAACGGAGGUGGGAACCCUUCGGGGCGCACCAUCGACCGAUCCUGAUGUCUUCGGAUGGAUUUGAGUAAGAGCGUAGCUGUGGGGACCCGAAAGAUGGUGAACUAUGCCUGAAUAGGGCGAAGCCAGAGGAAACUCUGGUGGAGGCUCGCAGCGGUUCUGACGUGCAAAUCGAUCGUCAAAUUUGGGUAUAGGGGCGAAAGACUAA
This 847-nucleotide ribosomal RNA is filed under the name Monascus sp. (in: ascomycete fungi). RNAcentral's name for it is "eukaryotic LSU rRNA". It matches the Rfam family "Eukaryotic large subunit ribosomal RNA", at positions 69 to 934 of the family's 3401-position model. Lineage: Eukaryota; Fungi; Ascomycota; Eurotiomycetes; Eurotiales; Aspergillaceae. The record is from RNAcentral.